GUGUCAGCAGCCGCGGUAAUACGGAGGGGGCUAGCGUUGUUCGGAAUUACUGGGCGUAAAGCGUACGUAGGCGGCUUUGUAAGUUAGAGGUGAAAGCCCGGGGCUCAACCCCGGAAUUGCCUUUAAGACUGCAUCGCUUGAAUCGCGGAGAGGUGAGUGGAAUUCCGAGUGUAGAGGUGAAAUUCGUAGAUAUUCGGAAGAACACCAGUGGCGAAGGCGGCUCACUGGACGCGUAUUGACGCUGAGGUACGAAAGCGUGGGGAGCAAACAGGAUUAGAUACCCUGGUAGUCCACGCCGUAAACGAUGAUAACUAGCUGUCCGGGCACUUGGUGCCUGGGUGGCGCAGCUAACGCAUUAAGUUAUCCGCCUGGGGAGUACGGCCGCAAGGUUAAAACUCAAAGGAAUUGACGGG
RNAcentral lists this ribosomal RNA (413 nucleotides) under uncultured bacterium. RNAcentral's name for it is "bacterial SSU rRNA". It matches the Rfam family "Bacterial small subunit ribosomal RNA", at positions 505 to 917 of the family's 1533-position model. The record is from RNAcentral.